GACAGCAGUCGCCACGGUAAUACGUAGGGUGCAAGCGUUAAUCUGAAUUACUGGGCGUAAAGCGUGCGCAGGCGGUUAUAUAAGACAGAUGUGAAAUCCCCGGGCUCAACCUGGGAACUGCAUUUGUGACUGUAUAGCUAGAGUACGGCAGAGGGGGAUGGAAUUCCGCGUGUAGCAGUGAAAUGCGUAGAUAUGCGGAGGAACACCGAUGGCGAAGGCAAUCCCCUGGGCCUGUACUGACGCUCAUGCACGAAAGCGUGGGGAGCAAACAGGAUUAGAUACCCGUGUAGUCCCUGUCUCUUAUAC
RNAcentral lists this ribosomal RNA (306 nucleotides) under uncultured bacterium. RNAcentral describes it as "partial 16S ribosomal RNA". It matches the Rfam family "Bacterial small subunit ribosomal RNA", at positions 507 to 807 of the family's 1533-position model. The record is from RNAcentral.